Molecule: ribosomal RNA, 450 nt
Filed under: uncultured bacterium
Lineage: Bacteria
Description: bacterial SSU rRNA
Rfam family: Bacterial small subunit ribosomal RNA
Source: RNAcentral
GUGGGGAAUUUUGGACAAUGGGCGAAAGCCUGAUCCAGCCAUGCCGCGUGUGUGAAGAAGGUCUUCGGAUUGUAAAGCACUUUAAGUUGGGAGGAAGGGUAGUAACCUAAUACGUUGCUACUUUGACGUUACCGACAGAAUAAGCACCGGCUAACUUCGUGCCAGCAGCCGCGGUAAUACGAAGGGUGCAAGCGUUAAUCGGAAUUACUGGGCGUAAAGCGCGCGUAGGUGGUUUUGUAAGUUGGAGGUGAAAUCCCCGGGCUCAACCUGGGAACUGCCUCCAAAACUGCAUGACUAGAGUACGGUAGAGGGUAGUGGAAUUUCCUGUGUAGCGGUGAAAUGCGUAGAUAUAGGAAGGAACACCAGUGGCGAAGGCGACUACCUGGACUGAUACUGACACUGAGGUGCGAAAGCGUGGGGAGCAAACAGGAUUAGAAACCCCGGUAGUCC